CCCAUUGUGGGCCAAGGGAUCCUCUGCCUGGCAUCUCUGAGUCAUUUUGGAUAUGGGGUUUGUGAAGGACUCUGCUGACUCUCAGACACUGCUGUUAAAAAUGGAGAUAAACCUGCUGAAGAUAAUGUAACUCUAUUUCUAUAUAGCAGAUCUCUCUUGCAUGUUUCUUCAACACCCAUGAGAUCAUCUGCUGCCUGGUAAUGGGAAGCAGUUUAUUUUGAAGGAGCAUGAACUGACAGAUUUUUGUUCCCAUGAACUGUGUAAGAAAUUUAACAAACCAGAUGCAGAUGGAUCAAUACAGGCUGUUCUUUAUUUAUCACCCCUUGUCUUCCUCACUUUAUUUUUAUGGCUAUUAAAGAUGCUAUCAUUGAUAUACCA
Pogoniulus pusillus (Red-fronted tinkerbird) is the source of this 378-nucleotide long non-coding RNA. RefSeq lists it as uncharacterized. The transcript is spliced from 3 exons. NCBI's taxonomy places the organism in Eukaryota, Metazoa, Chordata, Aves, Piciformes, Lybiidae. The record is from RefSeq and is a predicted model, not a curated record.